AGAAUCAACGCUGGCGGCGUGCCUAACACAUGCAAGUCGAACGAGAAAGUGGAGCAAUCCAUGAGUAAAGUGGCGCACGGGUGAGUAACACGUGACUAACCUACCUUUUAGUGGGGGAUAACCUAGGGAAACCUGGGCUAAUACCGCAUAAUACCUACGGGUCAAAGCAGCAAUGCGCUGAAAGAGGGGGUCGCGGUCGAUUAGUUAGUUGGCAGGGUAAUGGCCUACCAAGACUGUGAUCGAUAUCCGGCCUGAGAGGGCGCACGGACACACUGGAACUGAAACACGGUCCAGACUCCUACGGGAGGCAGCAGUGGGGAAUUUUGCGCAAUGGGGGAAACCCUGACGCAGCAACGCCGCGUGGAGGAUGAAGUCCCUUGGGACGUAAACUCCUUUCGAUGGGAAGAUAAUGACGGUACCCAUAGAAGAAGCCCGGCUAACUCGUGCCAGCAGCCGC
This 457-nucleotide ribosomal RNA is filed under the name uncultured bacterium. RNAcentral describes it as "SSU rRNA". It matches the Rfam family "Bacterial small subunit ribosomal RNA", at positions 26 to 518 of the family's 1533-position model. The record is from RNAcentral.